CCUCCAACCACAUCCCCACAACAGCCACGGGACAAACCUAAUGAAUACUGUGAAACCUCAGCCGACACCUCCUACGUUUCUUCUCUGCAUAUCUUGAAGAAACCCUAACACACAUCUCAAGUUCAGCCACACAUCAAGUCUCUAUCUCUCUCCCUCUGGCAACUCCGACCACCGGAGUGAGCUCCGGCGACAAGCACAUACCCAGCUCCGGUUCUCUUCUCCAGCCGCAUACCCACCUCCAAUCUCUGGUCUCUCCUUAAAAUCAACACGACAGAUAGAGAGAGAGAGAGAGAGAGAGAGCCUGAAACAGAGACUAAGAAAGAGAGAAAGUGAGAAAGCAGAGAAAAAGAGAGGGAGAUGUGGAAGAAAGAUCGACUGUUCACGAAACGGCAGCUCUCCGGCGAACGGCCGGUGUCCGGCGAGGGUGAGAGCGGUGAUGAAGUGGUGGCUCGAAGUCGAAAUAGAGACGGAGAGGGUCAAGACGGUGGGCGCGUUCUUCCAAAAACCCACCCAAAACCUAGAGAGAGAAGGAUCAGGGGAGUGUCCGGUCGGCCAGUCGUUCCUCCAAUGGCGCGUGCACCAUCACGCCACACAGAUCAGAAGUCCGAUUUCGAAGACAUGGUGACAGUUUGGAGGGUUGCGAAACAGGUACUUAUAUUACCCACCAAGUGUUUGAUUAAAUGUCUAUGGCACCGUCGCCAUGACCUGCACUGCCAGUAUCGGAGCCUUAAUCGACCGGAGACACCAUCAAAAGUACUUCGUAAUUUGACUUUUAAGAGAAGGAACCGAGGUAAAAACAAGUCAAGUUCGUUCGUGCUCCAACUGUCGCAGGUGUUGCCCUAAGAAGGAUUGGGUGUAGAAUUGUACCGUUUGGGUGUAGAUGGUGGGUUGGUAUGAGGGAUUCCUUGAUGAAAUUAGGUGCUCUGGUGUUUUGAUAUGACGACAUGCAGCAAAAUGACUAAGAUGGCGGCUCGAGAGUUUUCCGGUGGUCUCCGUCUGUUUCCAGCAAAGAUUGUCAGAACCCGAAUCUUAGUUUUUUUUUUUCGGUGAACUAGACUAUUUUUAAGAUCAAUCUAUGGUUGCAUGUCAUUAUUUGACUUAGAUGUUGCUACGCCACCCGUAGUCCCGUAACCCCAGUAGUGGAAGUAACGCUGGUCACGUUAAUUGGAGGCUUAUUGAAGAUUUUGUUGAUAAAUGAGCAGGUACAAUCCGCAAAAUGUGUCUAGAAAAACGGAGUGAUCACCGGUUAUGCAUUGACAAAGCGAAGUGAAGACUAUUCUCUGUGGUCUGCACCACACUUAAUUCCAGUGUUCUUCAUUUUUAGGCGGUGGAUUUGGGAUUUAUAUAAUGCAAAGGGAAAUGAUGCAUACAAGAAAAGAUAGUGGAAUAAAGAUGUAACAUGUUAUACUGAAGCUAACAAGUUGGAUGAAUCAAUGCUCCUUUCUACUUCAACGGAGUAGCUACCUACGUAGAAUUAGGAUGGGAGACUAAAGCUGGUAAGUUUCAUUGCCAUCAAGAAGCGCCAAGGAAGAUUUGAAGACACUGGUGGCGAGACGACAUCGAUGGAAGAGAUGGUCAGGGUGGGCCAUAGCAAUAGCAUAGUAAUAACCGACUGAACCCAUAUGAGAUGCUAAGAAUAGGUGCCAGAGCAGUUCAAGGGGAGGGCAGCUUAUUAUUUAGAAGAAGAGGGCUUCACUUAUGACGGUGCUCACACCAUCGACAAAUCCAACAUAUGUUACUACAUUCUUUCACUUCUAAUAUAUGGUAACAAUAAUCAAGAUUAAGCCUGGCUAAACAGGUUCGGUCAAAUAACAUGUCAAAACGGGUCGUUUUACCUUUUAAGAAGUAUUUGUUUGCUUCCGAGUCAAAAUCUUUUCUACCUAAAUUGAGCUUGGGUUGAAACAAGUCGAUUUAGGGAAAAGACAAUCAAAAUGGGUUUGUUUGUAUGACGGACUGACGGUGCUGACACCAUCUACGAAGCUGUAAGUUACACAAAUCAAUUUGCUUGACAAACAAAAUUACCUGGAACAGUUUUUAUUUUUGGAAAAAUGAGUCUGUGAUUGUCAAGAGUAAUAAAGAUUAAUCUUUGGUUUAUAUAUAUAUAUGUAUGUUUGUUCUCAUUGUGUGGUUCUACUUUAAUGUGUAAAAUCGCAGAAGGUUGAAGUUGAGGCAAGAACUAGUAAAGCUCAAGAGGGAAACCACAAGAUAUGGUCUAAAUAUCAAGAAUUAGGUGUAGUUUAUAUGAAUUUGAUAAUUUCUUCAAAAUAUUGUAUUGGGCUUAGAUGAAUUUUUUUCUUAAGACCAAAUACCCACCAGCCACGGUCCACGUGUAAAAUAGUGUAAUCAUUUAACUAUGUACAUACGAACCUCAGUUUAACCUGUUCCUCCUGCGCCCUGUUCAUCCCGCGCAACGCAAAAAAUGUUUGCAGCCGUAGCUUAUGAAAUCUAACAUGUAAUGUCGCGCAACGCGCGACAACGAAUUCCCCUAGUUUAA
This is a long non-coding RNA of Helianthus annuus (common sunflower), 2494 nucleotides long. RefSeq lists it as uncharacterized. The record is from RefSeq and is a predicted model, not a curated record. Lineage: Eukaryota; Viridiplantae; Streptophyta; Magnoliopsida; Asterales; Asteraceae. The transcript is spliced from 8 exons.